This 312-nucleotide long non-coding RNA is filed under the name Citrus sinensis (sweet orange). RNAcentral's name for it is "long non-coding RNA (CSIN_LNC002973)". The record is from RNAcentral. Lineage: Eukaryota; Viridiplantae; Streptophyta; Magnoliopsida; Sapindales; Rutaceae.
UUCCUCAUGUUCAUUCCCCAAAAUUCAGCAAAUGAAUUCAAAAUCAACAUCGCCCCGAUUCAUCAUCAUCCAUCAAUCAUCAUCAACAGAACAUCACUGCCCGGCUCAUCAUCAUCCAUCAAUCAUCAGCAUCACAACAUCGCGACGGUGGCCGCACUUCUCUGCAAGUUUCAAUUUCUACCUUAUGUGUUAAAUUUAGAUUUAUUCUGAGAUGUGGGCUCAAGGAAUCACGUGGCUUUCUGUGGAAUCAUGUGAUUUCUAUGGAAUAGUGUGGCUUUCUUUGUUUAUUUAAUUUUCCCAUCUUCUUCAUCC